This is a small nuclear RNA of Sorex fumeus (smoky shrew), 104 nucleotides long. NCBI's taxonomy places the organism in Eukaryota, Metazoa, Chordata, Mammalia, Eulipotyphla, Soricidae. The record is from RefSeq and is a predicted model, not a curated record.
GUGCUCGCUUCGGCAGCACAUAUACUAAAAUUGGAACGAUACAGAGAUUAGCAUGGCCCCUGCACAAGGAUGACACGCAAAUUCGUGAAGCAUUCCAUAUUUUU